GAUGAACGCUGGCGGCGUGCUUAACACAUGCAAGUCGAACGGGGAACAUUUUAAAGAAGCUUCGGCAGAUUUAGUUUGUUCCUAGUGGCGGACGGGUGAGUAACGCGUGGGUAACCUGCCUCACACUGGGGGAUAACAGUCAGAAAUGACUGCUAAUACCGCAUAAGCGCACAGAGCUGCAUGGCUCAGUGUGAAAAACUCCGGUGGUGUGAGAUGGACCCGCGUUGGAUUAGCCAGUUGGCAGGGUAACGGCCUACCAAAGCGACGAUCCAUAGCCGGCCUGAGAGGGUGGACGGCCACAUUGGGACUGAGACACGGCCCAGACUCCUACGGGAGGCAGCAGUGGGGAAUAUUGCACAAUGGGGGAAACCCUGAUGCAGCGACGCCGCGUGAAGGAAGAAGUAUCUCGGUAUGUAAACUUCUAUCAG
This 428-nucleotide ribosomal RNA is filed under the name uncultured bacterium. RNAcentral describes it as "bacterial SSU rRNA". It matches the Rfam family "Bacterial small subunit ribosomal RNA", at positions 28 to 439 of the family's 1533-position model. The record is from RNAcentral.